GAACAUGUAUAAACUGGAUUUCAUUUCUCUUGAGUAUAUACCUAGGAGUGGAACUGCUGGAUUACAUGGUAAUUUUAGGUUUAACUUUGGAGGAACUGCCAGACAGUUUUCCACAGCAGCUGCACCAUUUUGCAUUUCCACCAGCAGUGUAUGAGGGUUCCAGUUUAUCCACAUGUUUGCAACACUUAUUAACUGUCUUUUUUAUUAUAGCCUUUCUAAUGAAAGUGUUAUCUCGUGGUUUGGUUUUCACAUACGCUUUUAUAAGGCACUUUUCAAGUGUUUUUUUCCCCAAAUUUUCUUUUAAUAGAUAAGAAAUGAUAGUUUUAACUUUGUAAUUGUUGAUUUCACUUUUCUAACAGGCAAAGGAAAUUUUAACAAAAGAAUCAAAUGUGCAAGAGGUUCGUUGCCCUGUUACUGUCUGUGGAGAUGUGCAUGGUCAAUUUCAUGAUCUUAUGGAACUCUUUAGAAUUGGUGGAAAAUCACCGGAUACAAACUACUUAUUCAUGGGUGACUAUGUAGACAGAGGAUAUUAUUCAGUGGAGACUGUGACUCUUCUUGUAGCAUUAAAGGUGCGUUAUCCAGAACGCAUUACAAUAUUGAGAGGAAAUCACGAAAGCCGACAAAUUACCCAAGUAUAUGGCUUUUAUGAUGAAUGUCUGCGAAAGUAUGGGAAUGCCAACGUUUGGAAAUAUUUUACAGAUCUCUUUGAUUAUCUUCCACUUACAGCUUUAGUAGAUGGACAGGUAUGUAUAUGUGUGCUUACAUCUUGGGAGGAGGUAAAUGGAAGCAGAGAUUGACUAUUGGUAAGCUGGGGUCUAGAUUCAUAUGACCUGUGUUUCUGCAUCUCCUCGGCCUUUUCCUCCUCCUUCCCUUAUACUUAAAAUUUCAAAGCAGGGAAGUGGAUAAGUUUCACAUACAUUUGGACCAGCAAAUUUUCCUGUUGUUCUCAGAUAUGUAUGUAAAUCUUUUAACCAAAGAAUAUGCUGUGCUUUUUAAGAUAUCGAUAAACAUUAUAAAUAAAUGUUUAAGACACUGAUGUAUAGUACUAGCAAAGCAAGAUGUUAUUUAAAACUAUCUCUGCAUAUACAUGCAGUGUCUGCUGGUUACCAUGAAUAACUUUUCAUUUCUAUUUUCAUGGUAACUGCAAAUGUUAUAUUGUGUAUUACACCUUCCCUGAGAAGUGAAUGCUUGGCUGGGCACAGUGGCUAGUACUUUGGGAGGCCAAGGCAAGAGGACCGCUUGAGUUCAGGGGUUCAAGACCAGCCUGGGCAAUGUAGUAAGACCCUGUCUCUAC
RNAcentral lists this long non-coding RNA (1294 nucleotides) under Homo sapiens (human). Its description in RNAcentral is "long non-coding RNA NONHSAT216912.1". The record is from RNAcentral. Lineage: Eukaryota; Metazoa; Chordata; Mammalia; Primates; Hominidae.